CGGGUGCGUAACACGUGAGGAACCUGCCCCGAAGACCGGGAUAGCCCGAGGAAACUCGGAUUAAUACCGGAUACCCUCUUUGGAUCACAUGGUCUAUUGAGGAAAUGGUCCGCCGCUUCGGGAUGGCCUCGCGGCCUAUCAGCUUGUUGGUGAGGUAAUGGCUUACCAAGGCGAUGAUGGGUAGCUGGUCUGAGAGGACGAUCAGCCACACUGGAACUGAGACACGGUCCAG
RNAcentral lists this ribosomal RNA (232 nucleotides) under uncultured bacterium. Its description in RNAcentral is "partial 16S ribosomal RNA". It matches the Rfam family "Bacterial small subunit ribosomal RNA", at positions 103 to 334 of the family's 1533-position model. The record is from RNAcentral.